AUUGAACGCUGGCGGCAGGCUUAACACAGGCAAGUCGAGAGAGCGGCGGACGGGUGAGUAAUGUCUGGGAAACUGCCUGAUGGAGGGGGAUAACUACUGGAAACGGUAGCUAAUACCGCAUAACAUCAGAUGUGCCCAGAUGGGAUUAGCUAGUAGGUGGGGUAAUGGCGCACCUAGGCGACGAUCCCUAGCUGGUCUGAGAGGUUGACCGGCCAUCCUGGAACUGAGACACGGUCCAGACUCCUACGGGCGGCAGCAGUGGGGAAUAUUGCACAAUGGGCGCAAGCCUGAUGCAGCCAUGCCGCGUGUGUGAAGAAGGCCUUCGGGUUGUAAAGCACUUUCAGCGAGGAGGCGUUACUCGCAGAAGAAGCACCGGCUAACUCCGUGCCAGCAGCCGCGGUAAUUC
Molecule: ribosomal RNA, 406 nt
Filed under: uncultured bacterium
Lineage: Bacteria
Description: partial 16S ribosomal RNA
Rfam family: Bacterial small subunit ribosomal RNA
Source: RNAcentral